RNAcentral lists this ribosomal RNA (244 nucleotides) under uncultured bacterium. RNAcentral's name for it is "partial small subunit ribosomal RNA". It matches the Rfam family "Bacterial small subunit ribosomal RNA", at positions 26 to 285 of the family's 1533-position model. The record is from RNAcentral.
AGAAUCAACGCUGGCGGCGUGCCUAACACAUGCAAGUCGAACGAGAAAGUGGAGCAAUCCAUGAGUAAAGUGGCGACCGGGUGAGUAACACGUGACUAACCUACCUUCGAGUGGGGGAUAACCUCGGGAAACCGAGGCUAAUACCGCAUAACAUCGCAAGAUCAAAGCAGCAAUGCGCUGGAAGAGGGGAUCGCGGCUGAUUAGCUAGUUGGCGGGUAACGGCCCACCAAGGCGAAGAUCGGUA